CCGACCUUAGCUCAGUUGGUAGAGCGGAGGACUGUAGAUCCUUAGGUCGCUGGUUCGAAUUCGGCAGGUCGGA
Molecule: transfer RNA, 73 nt
Filed under: Rhododendron griersonianum
Lineage: Eukaryota; Viridiplantae; Streptophyta; Magnoliopsida; Ericales; Ericaceae
Description: tRNA-Tyr
Rfam family: tRNA
About the family: Transfer RNA (tRNA) molecules are approximately 80 nucleotides in length.
Source: RNAcentral